GAUCCAGCGUUGCUGUGAGCUGUGGUGUAGGUCGCAGAUUUGGCUCGGAUCGGGUGUGGCUGUGGCUGUGGUGUAGGUCGGCAGCUGCAGCUCUGAUUGGACCCCUAGCCUGGGGACCUCUAUAUGCUGCAGGUACAGCCCUCAAAAGCAAUAAAUAAAUAAAUAAAUAAAUAAUUGCUCUCUUUAAACACACCUGAAACCCAGCUCAGCACCUUCCAUGAAAUCCAGGGAUAGCAUUCCCUAAAAUAGCAUCACUGUUCUCUAGGUAGUUAGCUGUUCUCCCUGAAAGCUUCUCUCUUUUCCCUUCUGAUGCCACAGACUCCCAAAUCCUCAAGUCUCUUUUUAAAUGGACCUCCGACCUGCCAACACCAUCAGCCCAAUCAAGCAGCAGAUUUCUUAUCCACAUUUCACUUCCUUCCACCUUCUGAUAAGCCCAAUCAUUUCCAAACCUUGAUUGCAUUUUGGUUCUUGAGGCUGCAGCCAGCUGUGGUUAUUCUCAACUCUUGUUGUCACGGGGGAGGAGGGUAGACGUGGGCUAGCCCUGACUCAGCGAGGACCAGGAGAGAGGAGCCGAGUGUCCUCAGAGGCCUCGGGGAGGGGCGAGCCGCUGCAGUGGUCUGGUUCUGGCUGCAGCAGAGGUGAUGUGAAUCCCUGUUCGACUGUCCUUUUGGCCAGUGCUCUUCAAAGUCUGCUCAGGGAACAACGGGGGCUUGAGCUGGUUUGCAAAAGAAAAAACCCUGUGCUCUGAAACAUUUGGGAAACUCUGAGCAUCACUCAGAAUUAGUUCUUGUUUGCAAGCAUCACAAGCCAACUCUGCUAAUUUAAGCUUAAAAGGGAUUGAUUCUAAGGAUCUUGGGUAUCUCAUAGAAUCUCCUGCAGAAUCUGAACACCAAGGUCAGAGGCAGAGCCGCCAGGAACAAUGCCCAAAGUCAUACUGUGGCACUGGCCUCACUCAGGAAGACCCCACAGACACUGCCGCUGAACUCAUGCUUUAUACUUUAGCUUGUGCCACUGGCUCCGCCAGCACUGGAAGCCACUUCUAGAAUCGCCACCUUGCAGUUCCUGCUGUGGCGCACUGGGGGAAGAAUCUGACUGCUGCGGCUUGGGUUGCUGUGGAGGUGCAGGUUCGAUCCCCAGCCCUGCACAGUGGGUUAAAGGAUGCAGUGUUGCAUAGGUCGCAACUGUGGCCAGAAUUCAGUCUCUGGCCUGGGAACUUUCAUGUGCCAUGGGUGCAGCCCUAAAAAAAAGGGGGGGGAUUACCAUCACUGUAACCCCUGGAAACAGACGGUAACAGAUGCCACUACUGUUGCCACCAGAGUGGGAUCUUCACUGUCCCCGAUGCUUUGCGUCACGGUCUAGGGUUUUAGUGUGAGGUCAGGUGCCUGCUCAAGAGAGGCUGGGACAAUGUGCAUUUCACAUGUCAUGUUCAGUGUCUGUGCCAGGAGGCAGCCUCUGCUUCAACACACAGGGGAACUCCUUACACAUAGGCCGGGAGAGCCGGUGCUGGCGGGUCUGGAAGAAUGACCGCUGUUCAUUGCGGCCCCUGGACACCUGCCUCGGGCAUGUGCCAUCCUCCAGGACAGGCUCUGCCAUUCUCAGUACUGCUGACAUUUUGGACCGGACACUUCUUUGUGGGGGCCUAUCCUGGGCGUGGCAGGGUGUUUAACAGCAUCUAGGCCUCUACCCACUAGAUGCCAGUAGCACCCCUCCAGUUGUGACAGCUGUAAAUGUCUAAACACAUUGCCAAAUGUUCCCCUGGGGCAUCGAUUUGCCCCCAGCUGACAACAGCUGCUCCAGGAGCUUUGCAGGCAAAGUGUAAUGUGUUUGAGGAGGCAGGUUUGGUUUAACCUGGUUUCCCAAACUUCACUUGACCAUGGAAACAUUUUUUCUUUUUUUCCCCUCUAAUUCCCUGUGAACUUACUUAUUUCACAGACCUUAGCAGUGGCGCCUAUGAGGCUGGUACCUUGGGGCCUCAUUCCACACUCUCCAUGGAGGUAGGAGGGUGUACAGGCCAAAUGCACUCCGGGUCUCCCUGUCACCGCUUUCCCCACCUGCCACCCCCCUGAGCAAGGCUGGGGCUUCUUGGGGGCCAGCUGUGUGAGGACCCAUGCUCUGGGGGGUUAGUUGUGACCCUAGGAGACAUUCCUGGGGACCCAGGGAGGAGCCUGAAGAUGCCAUUCAAUGUGAAAGUCAGUCUUUCCCUCUUGGCCGUGAACCUGCCCUGCAGGUGCUGGUAUUGCUCUAACCACCAGGGACACACCUGCUGCCGCCGCCGGUGACAGCCCCUGCACCGUUUGGCAAAGAUCCCACAAGUUUCAGGCUCCAGCAAGCGCCGGUGGUCUCCAGUUCACCAGCCCAGCCUCCCAGUCUGUAUCCCCCUCAUGGUCACCAGGCCAAGGCCCUUGUUACUGCCCACCGAAUGCCCUGGACAUAAGGCCAAGACUGCCCGAACCCAGGAACUAGCCCCACCACUGGGAUGCAGGAUGGGGGGGUCACAGGCCGCUGAAGGGUGGGGCCACCACCCUCUGGCCUUACCUUUGAAGCUACUGCUGCCAGGCUGGGGAAGCAUGUAACCUUGGCAGCUCAGCGGUCCAUUCUGGAGACUUCUGCAAUCCGGCAGUUCCUCCAUAAGGAUGGCUCCGCUCCUGCACGCAGCUUCACAUGCAAAGCUCCCUUAUGUGUCUCUUAGUGACCUUGACUCUUAACCUUGGGACACUGGUCCUUUGGAAACAGAAUAGCGUCAGGGUUAGACAAACAAACCUGUGUUUGAUCUUGGUUGUACCGCUGCAUAUCAGAGUGAUUUUGAUUAAAGCUCUUUUAGAACUUUUAAUUUCAUCCUCCCCAUACAUUUUUAAAAAGCACUUUUCCUGUUCCCACAUUGGAUAAUUCUAGAUUUUAGGCAUUAACAGGUGGCUCCUGGGGGAGUCUCACUGAAGACCUCCUGGGAUUGAGGGACUCAGGCUCUGGACCCCAGGGUGCAUCUUCAUGGGGCAGGGGAGACAACUG
RNAcentral lists this long non-coding RNA (3006 nucleotides) under Sus scrofa (pig). Its description in RNAcentral is "lncRNA (ENSSSCG00000058927.1)". Lineage: Eukaryota; Metazoa; Chordata; Mammalia; Artiodactyla; Suidae. The record is from RNAcentral.